GACGAACGCUGGCGGCGUGCUUAACACAUGCAAGUCGAACGGAAAGGCCCUGCUUUUGUGGGGUGCUCGAGUGGCGAACGGGUGAGUAACACGUGAGUAACCUGCCCUUGACUUUGGGAUAACUUCAGGAAACUGGGGCUAAUACCGGAUAGGAGCUCCUGCUGCAUGGUGGGGGUUGGAAAGUUUCGGCGGUUGGGGAUGGACUCGCGGCUUAUCAGCUUGUUGGUGGGGUAGUGGCUUACCAAGGCUUUGACGGGUAGCCGGCCUGAGAGGGUGACCGGCCACAUUGGGACUGAGAGACGGACCAGACUCCUACGGGAGGCAGCGGUGGGAAAUAUUGCACAAUGAGCGGGAGCCUGAUGCAGAAACGCCGCGUGCGGGAUGACGGCCUUCGGGUUGUAAACCGCUUUCGCCUGUGACGAAGCGUGAGUGACGGUAAUGAGUAAAGAAGCACCGGCUAACUACGUG
Molecule: ribosomal RNA, 468 nt
Filed under: uncultured bacterium
Lineage: Bacteria
Description: partial 16S ribosomal RNA
Rfam family: Bacterial small subunit ribosomal RNA
Source: RNAcentral